GCCCAAUGUCUUGCCUUGUCAAUUAAUAUUUAUUGAGCACAUUUUCAGGCACUUUGAAUUGAAGAUAUAGACAGACAAAAAGUUUCUUUGUCUUUCUAUCCCAUGACUGUAUUUUGCACAAGGUCAAUAAGAGGCUUCAGUGUUUUUACAAUUACCAAGAGGAUGGGAUUUGUUAUUGUGUGCAGAUAAAAUGUGCUGAUGCCUCCAUUAUUUAUGGGAUGAGAUAAAAGUCAUGCAGCCUUCUGAGACAAAAGCUAUUUGAAGAGGAUCUAAGUGUGUGACAAGAAAUCAUAAGGAAUGCAAUGUCCGGGCUGGAAUGGAUAAGGAGUAAUUAACAAAAUCUGGAUGAAAAGUGACUCUCCUUGAGAGCAGCAGCCAAUCAGAGUUAAUCCAGUAAGAAGGAACAAGGUGAAUACAAAUGCCUGACUUCAGGCCUCCUCCUUUCUCUGCUAUUUUACCCUAGUUCCCCAUUGUCCAAACCCACCUGAAACCAGAGAUCUAAGGAGCUGUUUUAUUUCAUAUACACAGAUUAGCUCCAGAAAGAAAGCAGUGUGAAAAAGAUGAAACACAGAUUUGAAAGCAAUCUUGAAGAUCAGACAGAAAACCAGCCUAUGAAUCAAAGAAGAAAAUCAAAAUCAGACUUCAUAACUGCUUCAGUAACCCUUGGCAACAGACAACACACUGGAUUUUGGCGAAUAACACUAAAAUUUUUGCUGGUGAGGUCUUCAGAAACUGGAUAGAUGUGAAACCACCAGAACAGAAGUGGAGCGGGCAUGGUAUCUGUUUCUUCAAUUUGUAGUUUUAUAGUCAAAAACUGGCAUGUAUAUACUUAAUUGGUAACAUGUAAGUCACGUGCCUCUAUCCCAACUCUAAGAGAGGUUGAGAACUUAAUUUCUGGCUUCUACCUUGGGAAGGAUCAGGCUUAUAAGCUGGAAAAUUAGCCAACAUACACAGGAUAUUCAAAGCUUCUAGGCAGUCAAAAUACUGUCAAGUGGUAAAACAGACAUGAAAAAACCUUUUUUUCUCUCCUAAAUUUAAAAAAAUAUAAUUUUUGUAAAACACUGUAUGUGGCUUUCCAUAAAAUUAAAAGAGUCUUGGGAGAGAGAACAUCUCAUAUGCUUCCUAGUGAAUUACUUCCACACUAAAGCAAUUAAUGAAAAUGAAAAUACCGUGUAUAAUAUUUUUAAAGCAGCCUUUUCACUGAUAAAUAUGUUUUAGGUAUAUAUACAGCUAUGGAAAAGUUUUCCUCAUAACAAUUCCAUUUUAUCUCAGGUAUAAUCGGUCAGGAGAAAUUAUUUCUUGUUGCUAAAAAUGGAACAAAACGUUUGAGCUAAAGAAACACAUUUCUCAUUCAACACACACAUCCACAGAAGUUUCUUCUCAUGCCAAAGUGAGCAAAUCUACACUUGGGAUUGUACAAUUUUUAUGAAAGU
Molecule: long non-coding RNA, 1433 nt
Filed under: Homo sapiens (human)
Lineage: Eukaryota; Metazoa; Chordata; Mammalia; Primates; Hominidae
Description: HSALNT0309941
Source: RNAcentral